Molecule: ribosomal RNA, 361 nt
Filed under: uncultured bacterium
Lineage: Bacteria
Description: partial 16S ribosomal RNA
Rfam family: Bacterial small subunit ribosomal RNA
Source: RNAcentral
GCCCAGACUCCUACGGGAGGCAGCAGUAGGGAAUUUUGCGCAAUGGGCGAAAGCCUGACGCAGCAACGCCGCGUGAUCGAGACGCCCUUCGGGGUGUAAAGAUCUGUCAGUGGGGACGAAACUUGACGGUACCCACAGAGGAAGCACCGGCUAACUCCGUGCCAGCAGCCGCGGUAAUACGGGGGGUGCAAGCGUUGUCCGGAAUUACUGGGUGUAAAGGGAGCGUAGGCGGGAUUGCAAGUUGGAUGUGAAAACUGCGGGCUCACCCCGGAGCGUGCAUUCAAAACUGCGAUUCUUGAGUAAAGUAGAGACAAGCGGAAUUCCUAGUGUAGCGGUGAAAUGCGUAGAUAUUAAGAGGAAC